This 1123-nucleotide long non-coding RNA is filed under the name Triticum aestivum (bread wheat). Its description in RNAcentral is "long non-coding RNA (TAES_LNC018351)". Lineage: Eukaryota; Viridiplantae; Streptophyta; Magnoliopsida; Poales; Poaceae. The record is from RNAcentral.
UUUUCAUCACGUCUUUCAUGCAAGAACAAUAGCUAUCAAGAGAUCUCUGAACACAUUUUCUUUAGAUUCUUCCAUGCAAUACAAGCAUCCACAUAAAUUGUAUGACAACCACACAUCUAAAGUACAAAAAGCUUGCCAUAUUUUUUCUAACAAAUGUACAUUCUCGCUGAUUACAUGGUGCCAAAGAAAACAAAGCCUGAGAUAACCAGAUCGGGACUAGCACAAGAGGUGAAAUUAUCAGUUUCAUCAGCUGUCAUCUUGGGAGACAUGAGGAUGACUCCUAUGAAGAUUACCCAGCCAUAGUUCAUCAGCAUGGGCUGAUUCUUUGAUCUCCUAGUUCAUGCCUUCAACUAAUCGGUUUGAAGCCUGGUGAAGAUGCGAAGGAAGGCGAUGCUUGCAGUUUUUCCAUGCUUAUCAAAGGCAAAAAUAUUGUUGGAGCGGGCAAGAUGGCCCUGAAUCUGAAUAGUAGCGAAUAGUCAGUUCUAGAACAACCAUAAAACCAUGAUAUAGAAAAUAACGAUGGAUUAUCCUCUAUAAAGGGGUUGCUACAUAUAAAACACGGAUUCCAAAGUAUCACAUUUUUACAAUAUAAAUGACAGUUCACUACUAGAGAAAAAGUGAUGCAACAUUGGGGAUACAUAUUUGUUUUGGCUUGGCGAUAGUCAGCUAAGGAAGUUUUUUUAAGUACUGAACAUGCAAUGUUGAUCAGUCAUUUUAGAACAACCAUCAGUCAGCCAUACAACACAUGAAACAAAAUGGCAGCUACUACUUAUAGCUAGUGACCAAUUAGAGGAACGUCCAAUCUAUGAGGUUUUGCAGAUAUAUUAUAAGGAACACCGACAUUCUGCAAGCCAUGGGUUACUAACCUGCAUGAAAAUAGGGAGUACAUCCCUUGUAAUUGACAUGAGGAUUGUACAAAUAUACUGCUCGUAUGUUAAUUUGGUACCCACAACACACUAUUCCAAUUCUGAAUCAACAAAAGUAUGCCUUUUCAGUCAACUAGAACAACAUUGCUCAUGUUAUCUCUCUGCCACUGGUUUAAGCAGAUUGGGGGAAAGGUGUGGACGAAAUUGUAAUAACAAAAAUAACCUUAACAAAUGGAUAAAGGAAGAAGCAAACAUAC